CGAUGGUGGUUAUAGCAGCAAGGGUACACCUGUUCCCAUUCCGAACACAGCAGUUAAGCUUGUCUGCGCCGAUGGUACUGCACGGGCAACUGUGUGGAAGAGUAGGUCGCCGCCAUCGC
Molecule: ribosomal RNA, 119 nt
Filed under: Cloacimonetes bacterium JGI 0000039-G13
Lineage: Bacteria; Pseudomonadati; Candidatus Cloacimonadota
Also listed under: 4 other names
Source: RNAcentral